CAAUUCCCCGUCGCCCACACUGCAGCCAGGUGCAAGUCCCUUCCUGGCUUCAGACAGCCCGCCUCCCGUUGCGACCGCAGACCCGCUGGCUCCGGGCCUCGGCCUGGGUGGUGGGUGGUGCUCGCGCCGCCCCCACCUUCCCCUGGGGCCGUGGAGAGCUGCGCGCUGGGCAUGUGUGCGCGCGCGCGCGGGUUUGGUGGGGAAGUCUCCUUCAGUGGAAGCUGCUGAGUCUCGCUGGCGGAGAGUAUCUUGGAUCCCAGCAAAAGCCUCCAGAUUUCUAGAGCUCCCCUAAAGAAAAUACCGAAUAAAAGAAAGACAAGAAGGGAAACCCGUCCCCCUAAAGCUUGGGUUUCCCGUAGUCUCGGAUCCUCUCUGAGCUGGGUAGGGGCGCAGUGGCCGCUGUUCGCACCCGGACUUGGAAAUCCCAUUUUGCCCCCUUUCGGGAGAAGGAAGGUGAGGGACUUGCAGGCAAGAGUUGCACCUGAUCUAGGAUCUAUCUGCAGGCAAGAGAACUCUGGGGAGGAGAACCGCCCUGGAGCGGAGCAGCCACCCUCUGACCAUGCCCCGGUGAGCGGGGCGGACUUCGAGGGCAACUUGCCGCGGACGGCCCGGGCUUAGCCAGCGAGCUCCGAGCUGCCGGGAGCCCGGACCUGCACGGCGCGGCCCGGCGGGGGGCUGUCGUCUAUGUCUUCUUGGGGCACCAGGAGGAUCGGAGUCUCGUUUUUUCAGGAAGAGCCCAGCGCUGGUGGCUUCAGGUGGCUGCCGCCGCCACCGCCGCUAGUGCUCUUUCCGCGGCUGGUCCGAGGAGCAGAGACGCGCGAGCGGGGAGACCUCCGAGGCAGCGAGGCACCGGACAUGUGUCAGCACAUCUGGGGCGCCCAUCCGUCGAGCCCGAGGGGAGAUUUGCCGGAACAAUUCAAACUGCGAUAUUGAUCUCGGGGGUGACAAUCCCUGGCCGGCUGUCGGGUGGGAGUGCGUGUGCGCUCGCUCAAGAGUGUGUGCGUGUGUGUAUGUGUGUGUGCCGUGCUGGGCUCCCCCCUGCCCCCCGUUUUCCCGUCGAGUGAUGCACUUGGAAUGAGAAUCAGAGGAUGGAAAUAGUCUGGGAGGUGCUUUUUCUUCUUCAAGCCAAUUUCAUCGUCUGCAUAUCAGCUCAACAGAAUUCACCAAAAAUCCAUGAAGGCUGGUGGGCAUACAAGGAGGUGGUCCAGGGAAGCUUUGUUCCAGGUAA
This is a long non-coding RNA of Galeopterus variegatus (Sunda flying lemur), 1228 nucleotides long. RefSeq lists it as uncharacterized. The transcript is spliced from 3 exons. The record is from RefSeq and is a predicted model, not a curated record. NCBI's taxonomy places the organism in Eukaryota, Metazoa, Chordata, Mammalia, Dermoptera, Cynocephalidae.